Mercenaria mercenaria is the source of this 3755-nucleotide long non-coding RNA. RefSeq lists it as uncharacterized. The record is from RefSeq and is a predicted model, not a curated record. NCBI's taxonomy places the organism in Eukaryota, Metazoa, Mollusca, Bivalvia, Venerida, Veneridae. The transcript is spliced from 7 exons.
UAUUUUAGAGCCCACAAAGAAACCAGGACUAGUAGAAAGAGGCAUUGGUCAGUUGAAGAGAAGAUGGGGAGUUCUACAUGGUGAAAAUACUCUACAGCCUUUUAAAGCAUGCAAUGUGAAGUAACAGUAAAGCAGAAUGGCUACGGACCAUGAGCUUCAGAGAUCUUUGUUCAGCUUUGUAUUGUGAAAAGUAGUACUUUGCACCAUAAAAUCUACAGAUAUAGCAGCUGGAGACCUGAUUACAUUAAAGUAAUAUCUGUAUACAUUUGAGGUUUUUUCAUGGAAAGUGGUGUAAAAGACUGUUGAUAAACAAGAAGGUCACUGGGCUUUAUGGCAGUGCAGACAGAAAGAUUUGUAUUCAUACAGUGACACCUCCAGAGAUGCAGAUGCUUAUAUAUUUGUCUAACCCUAAAUGGAGUGCACAUUCAAAUGAAAUAGCUCCUGAUGCUGAUGUCCAACUUUCCAAGGGACAGAUAAAUUGUAAAUUAAGGUUCUGCUUUGCUAAAGUUGUGGUGACACACUGACAACAGAUUACAUUUUUCUGUGAUAAUGUGAUGAAACCUUUUGUAUAGGUUGUGCAUGAGAAAGUGAGAGAGAACUUUUUUGUUGGAACCUUAAGGUAUACUCGGGUUACAAAUUUGCAGCAACUGUCAGCAACUUAUGAAACCAGUACCUGUUUUGAAGAUAGGACUUACAGCAGAAAGUUGGCUUCAAUACAGAUCCAUGCAAUUUGUGGUGACUUUCUGCCUAAGAUUUCAGGCUGGAGAUAAUAUUGGCAGAUCUUAGACUCUUCAAGAUUUAAAAUAAAAAAUGAUUGCAACGUAAGACUACAUGCAUAUAGUUUCAAUGAAAGGUUUUGUCUGGUUUUGUAUUAUAUACAACAUUAUCAUGGUCUGGAAAAUAAUCAUGCUGAAGACAAAUUUUUCAAUACUAAAUAAGGAAUCAUUAGGUUUUAUUGUUUACAGAAUUUUUGAGUAAUUAUAAACCCAACUGUAUUGUGUCUUAGAUAUAAAAUGAAAACUUAUGAUUGUAUCAUGUUUGGUAUACAUAAGUACAACUUGACUUUCUUGUGUGUAAGUAGAUUGAAAUAAAUUCCUGUGCAACUGGCGCACCCAAACAUAAUGUAUUCUGAGCUUAAACUUAAGAAAGAAUGUAUUAAUGUUUUAAAGUCACUAAUUAAAAUUGGAGACAAAAAUUAAAGUAGAUUUACUACAGUAUCAGAUAUUUUCAUGUGACUAGUAUUUCAAACUGUCUUGAUUCACUAAUUGUUCAGUUUUAGAAAGUAAUUAAUAGCGGAAACACUAAAAAUACAAAAAAAAAUAAUUCCACAUGAAAAGUAGUACCAUAUCAGUUUAAAUGAGUUGCAGAAUAUGUAAAUUUGUUCAUUAUUCUAAAGGAAACACUUUAAUAUCCGGCUCCUGGGGAGGAAUAUAGUUUUGGCAUGGUCUGUCCAUCUUUUCAUCCAUCUGGAGCCAUAUGAGACAUGGUGUCAAGUAAACCUGGUAGAAAUAUUCACUGCUAUAGGGAAAUGCAGAGCGCAAGUUUCAUAUUGAUAUAUAAUAUAGUGUUUGUAUUUAAUUUUCAAUCUGUCGGAGUCGUAUCUCAGACAUGGUUUGCAGGAUUUCAGUAAAUUUUAAAGCUGGUAUAAAUGAUAACUGCUUUAACGAAAAUUGGCCCUGCCAGGUUUCAGUUCAUUUGCAAGAUGUUUUUUUCUGUCUGCCUCUCCUGAGCCUUAUGUCAGACAUGUUUAGGAGUAUUUCAGUAGAACAUGGUACUAAUGUAAUAUGGUUGCUGUGCAAGUUUCAAUGAAAUUGUUUGAGGAACAGAAGAGUAGUAUAAUACAGAAUACGUGUAUUUACAACAUUGGGUUUUUUUCAUAUGGCAUAAGGUCAAUUUUGCUGUGGAACAUUGUGACCAAGCAUAGUAUGUAGUUUUCUGAGAGACUCUGGUGUGCAUGCAUUCUUGCAGCUUGGUUUAAGGUCAAGGUUGCUGUUGCUGAAAAUAGAAAAAAUGUUUCUUCUCAAUAAAUAUAGUUAAGAAUAAGGUGUUGGAACCAAACUUGGAAAUUCGGAGGAAUGCACGGAGGCCAUAAUUAUACUUGUGUUUUGCGCUACUUAGGUCAAGGUCAAGAUCAUCGUUACUUAAAUAACAGAAAAAAAUGUUUUUCUUAUAAUUACUCAAAAUAACUUCAUUCAGAAAGUUAGGAAUGAACUAAACUGGUAAAUAGGUUGUUUUUGUAGAAGCCAAUGUUAUGGUUACAUUUUUGGUCAAGGCCAUUGUAACUACAUUUAUCACAUAUUUGACAUCAUGGGAGUAAAAUAAAGCCAUUACAUAAAAUUGAUAAUACACUAGUGUAAUAAAGCCUUGACGUCACCUUCAUUUUAAGUAUAGAAGAAGUUGGUCAAAUUGACUUGUUUAUAAUAGUUAAAGAAAGUAGAAUUUUUGAUGUUUCGGCAGGAAAAACUAACAUGUGAUAAAAAGAAUAUUACAUUUUGUGACUUUCCACAUUGAAUUUAUUAAAUUUGUUGAAUAAAAUUGAUAAAAUGCUCGGCAGAGCCUCGCAUUUUAUUUUAUUCAACUUGUUUAAAAAAUUCAGUAUGAAAAGACACUCAUGUAAUAUCCUCUACAUAGGAAAAUUGUUUUUGGUUGAUAAUUUAGUUAGGAAUAGAAAGUUUGACAAAACUUUGUAUAUAUGUAACUGCCAUGGAGACUAAAAUUUAUUUGCAUUUUUUUGUUGCUAUGGUCAAGGUCUAGAACAGUGUUUACUUAUGAAAAAUAGAAAAACAAAUAUAUUAACUUCAGUUAGAAAUAAAACAUACAUUUUUACACUAAACUUGGUUCUCAGGUGUAUUGCACAGAGACCAAGAUACAUUUGCAUUUUGGUUUGCAUUAGUGAAGGUCAUUGUUACAUAUGAACUUGAAAUAAGAUGUUUUUACACAAUAACAUCUUUUAGAAGUGAAGUACUUUACUAUAAAUAUGUAAACUGUUUCAGAUUUAAGUAAUGAGGUAUUUGGACUAUACUGACACCCACUGUGGAAAUAUAUAUAUACAAAUGUAUAUGCUUUUGCAAGCAGACAAUGUUUUUAUUAAGGAGAAACCUUUGGCCCAUUCAGAAGUGAAUAUCACAUCAUUGAGUUAGCUAAAUAUUCCCUAUGGAAACAAACUUGUACUUAACAUGGAUGAUUUGCAACAGUUCCUGAUUAUGUAUUUGCCAAAGAUCACUUUUACAAAAUGCAAUUUUUAACACAUUUUGAGAGGAUAUUGUUUUUACCUAAGGAAGUAAUUGCUUUAACCUGCAAGUGAGAUUGUAUUAAUGUGAAUGUGUGUAUUCUAACAAGAGACUUCUUUGCAUGCUUUCAAUUCAGGUUGUUACUCUAAGAAUUUGUAUUCUGAAUAGGAUACGUCAUAGCAACCACUGCUGGCUUUAUUGUUUUUUAUUGAAAGAAAAUUUAAUAGUUUUGAUUUUGCCCAAUUUUAACUAGUCAGAACUGGAUAUUUUAAAUUCAAAGGGACCAAACAGUGGUAAAUAUCCCUAGUCAAACUUGGCACCUGGUCUGAGAACUUUGUGUGAGUGAAAUAAUAUACCCAGUGUUUGCGUACAAUCUUACAGUUUAGUUUGGCUGUUGCAGUAUUUAAAAAUGAAAAGUUUAUGUGGAAUUGUGUUUUAUUUUGUAAUUUAAAUUGUUUUCCAUCAAAUGACAUUUUACAAAAAAUGUUUAUAUGUGUAGAUUGAUUUUUUUUUCUCAAGUGAUAU